RNAcentral lists this long non-coding RNA (1061 nucleotides) under Marmota monax (woodchuck). Lineage: Eukaryota; Metazoa; Chordata; Mammalia; Rodentia; Sciuridae. The record is from RNAcentral.
CCCUUAUUGACUCUUCUCCAUCUUUUCUUUUCUUCUCAAAUCCCAUCAACUUACUUGCUUCAGUGGUAUUUCACCAAAAUAUAGCCAUUAAAAAGACAUCAACUCAAUCUGUGUGAACAUGUAUGUUUACCCAAGGGUCUGCUUCUGAGACCACUACCAGUGCCAAGAACUACAUCAGCGUGCCCAGUAAGGAAGGGGAAAAAAAAUGCUGUGCUUUAAACCAAGUGGAUUUGAUACAGAAAAUUGAUUAUAGACACAUUAGAAGCCUCAAAGACUACAAAGGGCAUAUUGAGGUGACUCAGAACAUUAAAAACAUGAAGUGGAAGAAAACAAGAUAGUGGUGGGGCCACCAGAACUAUGGUGUCAGAGAAAAGGCCAUAGGUCUCCCAUGAAAGGUUAUAACCUGUGGUUGCCCAAAAAGCAAAUAUCAAAUCUCGUAUUUACUCUACCAAGAGAGCAUGACCCAGCUGUGUUGAUCCUUUUGUGGGGGUGAAGCGAGGCUGGUGCCAGAGCCAACUGUGUGAAUGGAGUGACACUAAUGGGAACUUGAAAGACAGGUCUCUCUUUCCUCCUCCUGCUUUCAUAGCGCUCUAGUACCUCUCACUGGCAAAACCAUUAGCAAAGCCAGAUGUCAAAAGAGUCUGGAAAACUGAGUCUGUAGAAUCACAACCCCAGCAGCAUAGAGCAGACUACAGAUGGGUAAACAGGGAGAAAUAACAGGUAAAUAAGCUGUGUGACAUUUCUCUGUGUUUCUUUUAAGGCCCAUUUAUACUCAUCCCCUCUUCCCUCCAGUUGCCCCACAAAAAGCAUUUCCACUUUAGAAAUCUGAAUGCCUCCACCGGGCCCUGCAGUAUGGGGGGCCCCUUUUCCACAGGUUGGCCAUUCUCCAGCACCAACAGAAGCUCCAUUCUGACUAGAGCUUUCUCAACAGCCUCAGUUGCACAGGUUACUCACUGCUGCGAAGGUACCUCUACAGCCUUCCAGUCUUCCCUCCAGCCGCUUCCUGUUUCCUUCCUUCCUUCCGGUCACCGACAAACUCCUCCAAAUGAGUGGCUCUGCAU